Molecule: long non-coding RNA, 435 nt
Filed under: Phoenix dactylifera (date palm)
Lineage: Eukaryota; Viridiplantae; Streptophyta; Magnoliopsida; Arecales; Arecaceae
Description: long non-coding RNA (PDAC_LNC002845)
Source: RNAcentral
GAGAGGAUUAUAUUAAUGUGGAAGAGUUGGGGAAAAGAAGAGGUCCAUGGAGAUGACCUAAUGCCAUCUUCCUUGGCUGCAUUAACCUAAAUUGUCUCAUAGCAUUUGCUUUAACAAUUUAAAACCCCAAUGGAAGGCAGAAAGCAAAAGAUAAGCGGUGCCAAUAAAGUAGGCAUGGCUCUCGAGAUGGCAAAAUUCUUCCAGAGAAGGGGGAGAGAAAGGUACAAAUUUUGCCCGCCGUUUGGCAUGACCUCCGCGCUCUACGGAACACCGCAUGGAAAACACCCCCCUACCCCUUCCCAGUUCCCAGAAAUGAGCAUCUUCCACGCGGAUCGGGGCUGCAUCUUUAGCACGAAAGAAGGAUUCAGCACAGAUAGCAAAGCGCUAUGUACAACAGUUCACGAAUAAAUAUUGUACAAGUUCCGAAGAUUUCUU